Molecule: ribosomal RNA, 309 nt
Filed under: uncultured fungus
Lineage: Eukaryota; Fungi
Description: eukaryotic LSU rRNA
Rfam family: 5.8S ribosomal RNA (bases 1-52)
Source: RNAcentral
AACGCACCUUGCGCCCCUUGGUAUUCCGAGGGGCAUGCCUGUUUGAGUGUCAUUAAAUUCUCAACCUUUACUAGCUUUUUGUGAGCUAUGUAAUGGCUUGGAUGUGGGGGUUUUUUUGCUGGCUUCGAAAGAAAUCAGCUCCCCUGAAAUAUAUUAGCUGGUGCCCCCGCGUGGACCGUCUACUGGUGUGAUAAUUAUCUACGCCGUUCUGUGAAGCAUAACUAUGGGACUCGGCUUCCAAUAGUCCUUCACUGGACAAUAUCUUUGACCUUUGACCUCAAAUCAGGUAGGAUUACCCGCUGAACUUAA